GGGUGAGUAACAUAUCGGAACGUACCCAGUAAUGGGGGAUAACUAGUCGAAAGAUUAGCUAAUACCGCAUACGCCCUGAGGGGGAAAGCGGGGGACCGUAGGGCCUCGCGUUAUUGGAGCGGCCGAUAUCUGAUUAGCUAGUUGGUGGGGUAAAGGCCUACCAAGGCGACGAUCAGUAGCUGGUCUGAGAGGAUGAUCAGCCACGCUGGAACUGAGACACGGUCCAGACUCCUACGGGAGGCAGCAGUGGGGAAUCUUGGACAAUGGGCGCAAGCCUGAUCCAGCCAUUCCGCGUGAGUGAAGAAGGC
RNAcentral lists this ribosomal RNA (308 nucleotides) under uncultured beta proteobacterium. RNAcentral's name for it is "bacterial SSU rRNA". It matches the Rfam family "Bacterial small subunit ribosomal RNA", at positions 104 to 415 of the family's 1533-position model. Lineage: Bacteria; Pseudomonadati; Pseudomonadota; Betaproteobacteria. The record is from RNAcentral.